AUUGAACGCUAGCGGGAUGCCUUACACAUGCAAGUCGAACGGAGUGGCGAACGGGUGAGUAAUGUAUCUGAACGUGCCCAUUCGCGGGGGAUAACUACGCGAAAGCGUAGCUAAUACCGCAUACUAUUGGAGCGGCCGGUAUCGGAUUAGCUAGUGGGUGGGGUAACGGCUCACCAAGGCGACGAUCCGUAGCUGGUGUGAGAGGAUGACCAGCCACACUGGGACUGAGACACGGCCCAGACUCCUACGGGAGGCAGCAGUGGGGAAUUUUGCACAAUGGGGGAAACCCUGAUGCAGCCAUCCCGCGUGUGUGAUGAAGGCCUUCGGGUUGUAAAGCACUUUUGGCAGGAAAGCGGUACCUGCAGAAUAAGCACCGGCUAACUACGUGCCAGCAGCCGCGGUAAUAC
RNAcentral lists this ribosomal RNA (407 nucleotides) under uncultured bacterium. RNAcentral describes it as "partial 16S ribosomal RNA". It matches the Rfam family "Bacterial small subunit ribosomal RNA", at positions 30 to 526 of the family's 1533-position model. The record is from RNAcentral.